CGCGUAGGCGGACUCGUAAGUCGGGAGUGAAAACUCGGGGCUCAACCCCGAGCCUGCUUCUGAAACUGCGAGUCUUGAGGACCGGAGAGGAAAGUGGAAUUCCUAGUGUAGCGGUGGAAUGCGUAGAUAUUAGGAAGAACACCAGUGGCGAAGGCGACUUUCUGGACGGUUCCUGACGCUGAGGCGCGAAAGCUAGGGGAAGCAAACAG
This 209-nucleotide ribosomal RNA is filed under the name uncultured bacterium. Its description in RNAcentral is "partial 16S ribosomal RNA". It matches the Rfam family "Bacterial small subunit ribosomal RNA", at positions 568 to 775 of the family's 1533-position model. The record is from RNAcentral.